Molecule: transfer RNA, 73 nt
Filed under: archaeon
Lineage: Archaea
Description: tRNA-Ala
Rfam family: tRNA
About the family: Transfer RNA (tRNA) molecules are approximately 80 nucleotides in length. Their secondary structure includes four short double-helical elements and three loops (D, anti-codon, and T loops).
Source: RNAcentral
GGGCUGGUAGCUUAGUUGGUAGAGCGCCGGCUUUGCAAGCCGGAGGUCGGGGGUCCGAAACCCCCCCAGUCCA